GGCGAGGGGAGUGAAAAAGAACCUGAAACCGUGUACGUACAAGCAGUGGGAGCACAGGUUUACCUGUGUGACUGCGUACCUUUUGUAUAAUGGGUCAGCGACUUAUAUUCUGUAGCAAGGUUAACCGUAUAGGGGAGCCGGAGGGAAACCGAGUCUUAACCGGGCGUUAAGUUGCAGGGUAUAGACCCGAAACCCGGUGAUCUAGCCAUGGGCAGGUUGAAGGUUGGGUAACACUAACUGGAGGACCGAACCGACUAAUGUUGAAAAAUUAGCGGAUGACCUGUGGCUGGGGGUGAAAGGCCAAUCAAACCGGGAGAUAGCUGGUUCUCCCCGAAAGCUAUUUAGGUAGCGCCUCGUGAAUUCAUCUCCGGGGGUAGAGCACUGUUUCGGCUAGGGGGCCAUCCCGGCUUACCAACCCGAUGCAAACUGCGAAUACCGGAGAAUGUUAUCACGGGAGACACACGGCGGGUGCUAACGUCCGUCGUGAAGAGGGAAACAACCCAGACCGCCAGCUAAGGUCCCAAAGUCAUGGUUAAGUGGGAAACGAUGUGGGAAGGCCCAGACAGCCAGGAUGUUGGCUUAGAAGCAGCCAUCAUUUAAAGAAAGCGUAAUAGCUCACUGGUCGAGUCGGCCUGCGCGGAAGAUGUAACGGGGCUAAACCAUGCACCGAAGCUGCGGCAGCGA
RNAcentral lists this ribosomal RNA (684 nucleotides) under Salmonella enterica subsp. enterica serovar Typhimurium var. 5-. Its description in RNAcentral is "bacterial LSU rRNA". It matches the Rfam family "Bacterial large subunit ribosomal RNA", at positions 528 to 1211 of the family's 2925-position model. Lineage: Bacteria; Pseudomonadati; Pseudomonadota; Gammaproteobacteria; Enterobacterales; Enterobacteriaceae. The record is from RNAcentral.